RNAcentral lists this ribosomal RNA (166 nucleotides) under uncultured Agrobacterium sp. RNAcentral describes it as "partial 16S ribosomal RNA". It matches the Rfam family "Bacterial small subunit ribosomal RNA", at positions 338 to 521 of the family's 1533-position model. Lineage: Bacteria; Pseudomonadati; Pseudomonadota; Alphaproteobacteria; Hyphomicrobiales; Rhizobiaceae. The record is from RNAcentral.
CCUACGGGAGGCAGCAGUGGGGAAUAUUGGACAAUGGGCGCAAGCCUGAUCCAGCCAUGCCGCGUGAGUGAUGAAGGCCUUAGGGUUGUAAAGCUCUUUCACCGGAGAAGAUAAUGACGGUAUCCGGAGAAGAAGCCCCGGCUAACUUCGUGCCAGCAGCCGCGGU